CCAUCUCCAGCAGCAAGGCGGAGUCGUGGCUCCUAACAACAUACCUUGAUGAUGAUCUUCGGAUCUCGAGAGGAGACCGUGGCAGUAUAUUUGUCCUCAUCAAGGAAGGCAGCGCCCUUCUGUCUCCAUAGGCAUAUCACUUAUUUUCCUGUAGAAUUGUGUGUAAUAAUGCAGGUGACUUAAUAGUUAAUACUGGUUAUAACUGCAUUGACAUGUACCAGAUUUAAAAGUGAACAAGAACUUCAAGGUUUUGCUAUGUAAUCAAUAAUACGCAUGCAGAAUUGCGAUAUGUAAUCUUCAACAAAUUUUCAUUUUUGAUGUUAGGCCAUUUUGUAGAAAAGGUUGACGUUGGACUAGUAGGCCUAAAAUUCUCUAUUUUAUCCUCCUUAGCCCAAAAUUGGUUACGCCAUUAGCCCACAGUUACAAUAAGAACAAGCCCAAAAAUGAAAGAUGAUGGAAACGGAAUCAAAUCAUUUGUAAACUCGAAUAUGCUUUCAGCAUUUUAGUAAAAUCCACCAACCACGGUCCAUAACCAGAACAAAGGAAAUAAUUAAAGAUAAUUCGAUAACAAGUUGUAGAAUGAUGUUAUUUUGCACUACUUUUAUGAGUACUAGUUUAGAAGUGAUUGGAUAUCAUAAAUGUGAUUUAUUUUUCUACUGUUAAAGUGAUUUAUACUUAGUUAUAUAUCAUUUAGACAGGCGAUUACCAUUGGCAAUGUUAAGUUCCUAUUUGGCCAACAUUAUUUGAGAUUAUAAUUUUUGGAGUAUUGUUUUUUGAAAAAUGUGUAAUUAAAAAUGAGAAAAAAUUUGAAUUCGUGUUUAAUAUUAUUUUAUUAAAAAAUGUAUGAUAAAUAAAAAGAGAGAACAAAUAGAUUAUAAUUUUAUCGGAAGUGAAAUGGGCGCUGAAUAGCAUUAGUUGUAUGGAAAAGUGGGAGUUAGGUAGAAAAAUUAAAUUACCAAAACACCCCUACGCACAACAACUUCGCUGAAGGCGGAGCUUCCGAAGGACUACUUUGCCCUUUCUCCCUCAACUACGAGUUAGAUAGUGAAAGAAAA
Molecule: long non-coding RNA, 1055 nt
Filed under: Olea europaea (common olive)
Lineage: Eukaryota; Viridiplantae; Streptophyta; Magnoliopsida; Lamiales; Oleaceae
Description: long non-coding RNA (OEUR_LNC005017)
Source: RNAcentral